This 496-nucleotide ribosomal RNA is filed under the name uncultured bacterium. RNAcentral describes it as "partial 16S ribosomal RNA". It matches the Rfam family "Bacterial small subunit ribosomal RNA", at positions 28 to 507 of the family's 1533-position model. The record is from RNAcentral.
GAUGAACGCUGGCGGCGUGCCUAAUACAUGCAAGUCGAGCGAACAGACGAGGAGCUUGCUCCUCUGACGUUAGCGGCGGACGGGUGAGUAACACGUGGAUAACCUACCUAUAAGACUGGGAUAACUUCGGGAAACCGGAGCUAAUACCGGAUAACAUGUUGAACCGCAUGGUUCAACAGUGAAAGACGGUCUUGCUGUCACUUAUAGAUGGAUCCGCGCCGCAUUAGCUAGUUGGUAAGGUAACGGCUUACCAAGGCAACGAUGCGUAGCCGACCUGAGAGGGUGAUCGGCCACACUGGAACUGAGACACGGUCCAGACUCCUACGGGAGGCAGCAGUAGGGAAUCUUCCGCAAUGGGCGAAAGCCUGACGGAGCAACGCCGCGUGAGUGAAGAAGGUCUUCGGAUCGUAAAACUCUGUUAUUAGGGAAGAACAAAUGUGUAGUAACUAUGCACGUCUUGACGGUACCUAAUCAGAAAGCCACGGCUAACUACGUG